UUAGCAGAGAUGCUUUGGUGCCUUCGGGAACUCUGAGACAGGUGCUGCAUGGCUGUCGUCAGCUCGUGUUGUGAAAUGUUGGGUUAAGUCCCGCAACGAGCGCAACCCUUAUCCUUUGUUGCCAGCGGUUCGGCCGGGAACUCAAAGGAGACUGCCGGUGAUAAACCGGAGGAAGGUGGGGAUGACGUCAAGUCAUCAUGGCCCUUACGGCCAGGGCUACACACGUGCUACAAUGGCGCAUACAAAGAGAAGCGACCUCGCGAGAGCAAGCGGACCUCAUAAAGUGCGUCGUAGUCCGGAUUGGAGUCUGCAACUCGACUCCAUGAAGUCGGAAUCGCUAGUAAUCGUAGAUCAGAAUGCUACGGUGAAUACGUUCCCGGGCCUUGUACACACCGCCCGUCACACCAUGGGAGUGGGUUGCAAAAGAAGUAGGUAGCUUAACCUUCGGGAGGGCGCUCACCACUUUGUGAUUCAUGACUGGGGUGAAGUCGUAACAAGGUAGGCGUAGCGAG
This 512-nucleotide ribosomal RNA is filed under the name uncultured bacterium. RNAcentral's name for it is "bacterial SSU rRNA". It matches the Rfam family "Bacterial small subunit ribosomal RNA", at positions 997 to 1509 of the family's 1533-position model. The record is from RNAcentral.